ACGUAGGUCACGAACGUUAUUCGGAAUCACUGGGCUUAAAGGGCGCGUAGGCGGUUUGAUAAGUUACGGUUGAAAUCCGGCGGCUCACCCGUCGAACUGGCCGUGAUACUGUCGAACUGGAGGUGCGGAGGGAUGCGUGGAACUUGUGGUGGAGCGGUGAAAUGCGUAGAUAUCAGAAGGAACGUCGGCGGCGAAAGCGACUCUCUAGACCGUAACUGACGCUGAGUGUGCGAAAGCUAGGGGAGCAAACGG
Molecule: ribosomal RNA, 252 nt
Filed under: uncultured prokaryote
Description: partial 16S ribosomal RNA
Rfam family: Bacterial small subunit ribosomal RNA
Source: RNAcentral